RNAcentral lists this ribosomal RNA (838 nucleotides) under uncultured bacterium. RNAcentral's name for it is "bacterial SSU rRNA". It matches the Rfam family "Bacterial small subunit ribosomal RNA", at positions 9 to 871 of the family's 1533-position model. The record is from RNAcentral.
GAGUUUGAUCCUGGCUCAGGACGAACGCCGGCGGCGUGCCUAAGACAUGCAAGUCGAGCGGGGAGACUUCGGUCUCCCAGCGGCGGACGGGUGAGUAACGCGUGGGCAACCUGCCCUUCAGCCCGGGAUAACUGCCUGAAAGGGCGGCUAAUACCGGAUGCGGUGAAACGGACGCAUGUUGGUUUCACGAAAAUUACGGUGCUGAAGGAUGGGCCCGCGUCCCAUUAGCUGGUUGGUGAGGUAACGGCCCACCAAGGCGACGAUGGGUAGCCGGCCUGAGAGGGUGGACGGCCACACUGGGACUGAGACACGGCCCAGACUCCUACGGGAGGCAGCAGUCGGGAAUCUUCCACAAUGGGCGAAAGCCUGAUGGAGCGACGCCGCGUGAGGGAAGAAGGUCUUCGGAUCGUAAACCUCUGUCCUCAGGGACGAUAAUGACGGUACCUGAGGAGGAAGCCACGGCUAACUACGUGCCAGCAGCCGCGGUAAUACGUAGGUGGCAAGCGUUGUCCGGAAUUACUGGGCGUAAAGGGUGCGUAGGCGGUUCUUUAAGUCUUGUGUGAAAUGCCCCGGCCUAACCGGGGAGCGGCACGGGAAACUGGAGGACUGGAGUGCCGGAGAGGGUCGCGGAAUUCCCGGUGUAGUGGUGAAGUGCGUAGAUAUCGGGAGGAACACCAGUGGCGAAGGCGGCGGCCUGGACGGUAACUGACGCUGAGGCACGAAAGCUGGGGGAGCAAACAGGAUUAGAUACCCUGGUAGUCCCAGCCGUAAACGAUGAGCGCUAGGUGUUGCGGGUAUCGACCCCCGCAGUGCCGGAGUUAACGCAAUAAGCGCUCCG